Molecule: long non-coding RNA, 1271 nt
Organism: Diceros bicornis minor
Lineage: Eukaryota; Metazoa; Chordata; Mammalia; Perissodactyla; Rhinocerotidae
Exons: 4
Source: RefSeq, a predicted model, not a curated record
GAAAUCCGAGGAAGCCGGGGUGCCUCAGUUUCUCCAUUCCACAAGUAGGGCCGCGGCCGACGGCCUCGCAGCUGGACUGACGCCGCCCCGGUCGGCCUGGCCAGCUCGGGCCAGCGAUGCACCGCCCCUGACUGCUGGGAGGAAGAGUUAAGAGCGCAGGCGCUGCGGACUGGACGUGUGGGUUCGAAUCCAGUGCCCACCACAUACCCCUGCGUGACCUUGGACUUGUUCUUCUCUUGGGCUCUUCCUCUCCGAGCCUCAGUUUCCCCAUCUUCCCAAACGAGCCUGGCAGAGUCUUGGGCAUGCAGAGCUGCGAUCAGAGGCAGUGAGGUGCUGCACGAGUAGGUGGUCAUACAUGGUGGCUGUCAUUAGAGAGCAGAGGAAAUCUUCCUCCAUCAGUUGCUCACUGCACACCUACUGUGUGCCAGGCACUGUGCUGGGGAGAGAGCAGUGAGCUCAGCAGACAAAAAGCCCUGUCCUUUCAGAACUGACAUUCUAAGGAGGGGUGGACAAGAGACAUAACACUUUCCUCGUCUCGAAAAUGGAGCUGGUGGUGAGGUUCUGAGGCUCUGUGGAUCUUUCCUCCCUCCCAAUUCCUGGCACAGCCAGCCCCAUCACGAGGUUGAGAGCGGUGACUCGGCGGAAAUGGAGGAGCGAGCAGCUAGCAACCAAAGGAGUGACAGUUCUGGACCACCUGACAGAACGCCACGGCGCUAUGACACCUACAGCAUUACAGAAUGCUCCACCUGGAGACAUGGGAUCCCAUCCACCUGGGCUUCAGACCAAGGGACACACUUUAUGGCAAGGGAGGAGCCGGGUGGGCGCACCAGCACGGUAUCUGCGGGUCUCACCCUGGAACAAUGGGUCUGAUGGAACGUUGGGGCGGCCACCUCGUGUGACACCCUGUGCACGGAACCCACAGCCGGUCGAUGGUGCUCUGUCCCCAGUAGCUAGGACGCACGGUCCAGGAACAGGUGUGGAAAUAGGAUUGCCCUCUCUCCAUCCUCACUCAGGGAUUUGUACUUCUCGUCCCUGCAACCUUAGACUUUGUCAGGAGGAGGAAAUUAGGACACAGACACAUAUGGAGGGAGGACCAUGUGAAGACGCAGCGGGAAGACGGCCAUCUACACGCCAAGGAGAGAGGCCUCAGGAGAAACCAACACAGCCGACACCUUGGUCUUAGACUUCCAGCCUCCAGAACUGGGAGAGAAUAAAUGUCUGUUGUUCAAGCCCCCGGGUCUGUGGUCCUUCGCUAUGGUAGCCCCGGGCAA